RNAcentral lists this long non-coding RNA (4285 nucleotides) under Solanum lycopersicum (tomato). RNAcentral describes it as "long non-coding RNA (SLYC_LNC001406)". The record is from RNAcentral. Lineage: Eukaryota; Viridiplantae; Streptophyta; Magnoliopsida; Solanales; Solanaceae.
UGAUGAAUUUAAAAAGAUGUUGGAUGAAUUGUUCUUACUUAAUGGAGUCCUUAAUAUUGGAGAUUCAAUUCCAUGGCUUGAUUUCAUGGACCUACAAGGUUAUGUUAAGAGGAUGAAAGUUGUAAGCAAGAAAUUUGACAAAUUUCUGGAGCAUGUACUUGAUGAGCAUAACAUGAGAAGGAACGCAGUGGAAAACUAUGUCGCUAAGGACAUGGUGGAUGUUCUAUUGCAGCUUGCUGAUGAUCCAACUCUGGAUGUUAAGCUGGAGAGACAUGGAGUCAAAGCAUUCACUCAGGUAUUCACUUUAUUCUUAUUAUUAAUGACCAUAUAUAUAUAUAACUUAAACUCAAAAAUAAAAUACAUUGUUUGUAUAAGAUAAUUUUCUCAUUUAACCUUGCACUGAUGAAUCCCUGCUGCAGUGCUCUGCUCCACUUUAUUGAGUAUGGAUGCAGACAAGAUAUUGUGGACCAAAAUUUGGUUUAUCACUUUUGAACAAGAAAAUGAAUAUACUCUUAAUAAUUGAAGUGGAUCAAUGAUAGUGUUGUAGAAAUGAUAUCACAUCCACUUUCUGUCCAAGUAAAACGGACGAUUUAAGGUGGUCCAUUUGUAGCUAUUUUAGAAAUAGAAAGUGACUACUAAAAGAAUAUAAAUGAAUUUUGUAGCUAUAUUACCAAAAAUUACGGCUCUAAUACUAGUUAGCACCACAUUAUAAUAAGUUAUUAACUAUGAUUAGCGAGAAAGUUCAUAGCUAGUUAGGUUAUUUGUAUUUGUUUCUUAUGCUUGAUUAAAGUUGAUGAGACGAGAUUAAAAUGUGUAUGUACAAUCAGGACUUGUUGGCUGGUGGAACUGAGAGUUCAGCAGUGACAGUAGAAUGGGCAAUUUCAGAGUUGUUGAAGAAGCCAGAGAUUUUCAAAAAAGCUACCAACGAAUUGGAUCGAGUAAUAGGCCAAAACAGAUGGGUACAAGAAAAAGACAUCCCGAAUCUUCCUUACAUAGAGGCAAUUGCAAAAGAGACUAUGCGUCUGCACCCCGUGGCACCAAUGUUGGUGCCACGUGAGUGUCGGGAAGACUGCAAGGUAGCUGGCUACGAUGUUAAAAAAGGAACCAGGGUCCUGGUGAGUGUGUGGACUAUAGGAAGGGAUCCAACAUUGUGGGACGAGCCUGAGGCUUUCAAGCCUGACAGGUUCCUGGAGAAGUCCAUCGAUGUUAAAGGACACGAUUUUGAGCUUUUGCCAUUCGGAGCUGGGAGAAGGAUGUGCCCUGGAUACAGCUUGGGUCUUAAGGUGAUUCAAGCUAGUUUAGCUAAUCUUCUUCAUGGAUUUAACUGGUCAUUGCCUGAUAAUAUGACUCCUGAGGAACUCAACAUGGAAGAAAUCUUUGGGCUCUCAACACCCAAAAAGUUUCCACUUUCUGCUGUGAUUCAGCCAAGGCUUUCAUCAAAACUUUACUCUGUUUGAUUCAGCAUCUACUAUACUAUGGUUCCAUCGAAAUAGAGUUUCUUUAUCCAAAUACUUUAGCUAAAUAAACUCUAGCUAUAGUCCUAAUACUCUACUUUUAUUUCGCUUUUGCCCCUCAGUCACCUGGAUUUGCUUAUAUGUUUGUAUCACUCAGGAUGUGUUAAUCAAGGUUAAGAAAAAUGAAUCAAUUUCAAUAUUUCUGUAAUGUAAGAAUGUUUUUGGAAAGAUUUCACAUCAUGAGUUAACUCUUUUACUUUAGUUUUCAGAAAGUCAGUCAUACUACUUUAGUUCAUUAUGAUGAAAUGGAAUAUGGAUUUUUGUUGAAGCCAUUCUUCUAUCUAUCGUUCUAGUUUUUAGUGAAGCGACUGUCUGAUAUCCCAUCGUGUAAAUAGAAUGAUUAUCAGCAUGGUCCCUAUUAUCAUAUCCUUGAUAAAUAUUUUAAUAGACUCCUCUUAUAACCCAAACAAUACUAGCAAAGGCAGUCAAGAAGAAACAAGUAUAUAUUUGUCUUAUGGUGUUGUGGAUAGGUCACAAUCAGUUGUGAAUUAGGAAAGUAAAUCACGCAAGUUCUUCAUUAAUUGAUAUAUCAAGUGUAUGAACUUCCUUAAGAACCUAUUUUUCUUUUUUCAGUUUCUCUGGUGAUUGGAUGGUACUGGUAGUUGGGGCACUCCACAGUGUGGUGACACACUUGAAAGACAUGUUAAGGGUCCAAAGCUAUGAACCUGUACUACAUUAUUAUUCGUUAUAAUAGUUUAACGUAAAGUCAAAUAACUUUUACAAAUUUUAGAAUAUGCAAGAAGUGUUCAUUUUAUUAUCACCCAUCCGAUUCAUUUGUCAUUAAAAUCAUUUAGGGAUUAAAAUAAGAGUCACUAGUCAAAGUCGAGGUAAACGUCAGGUCAAUUCUUCACAAAAUUUGGUAGGAGUGAAAAUUAAAGUUACAGGUAUUUAGUAUAAUUUUCUAGAGUAAUAUCUUUGAUAUUUGUACUUAACAAAAAUUUAGACAGCUUUGACUAUUAUGAUAUUUAAGGAAGAUAUUUGUAGGAAAGAAGAAUCAUCCCUACACAAGUAUAAAUAGGAAUGACCUUAGUCAUUUGUAAUCAAUACAAGAGCUAUUUAAAUCAUACACUAAUUUUCUUUUAUAAUAAUUAAUAAUUUUUUUAUUCAAAAAUACACAUUCUCCUUUCUAACUUUCUCUUCUUUAGUUAAAUUUUUCGAUCUAAGUUAAUUAUUUUGAGCUAGCAGAAGGAUUUACCGAUUAUACUUUUGUUUUACUAUUAAGGUGCAAUCAAUCACGUACCAAAUUGGAAGACUUUGACAUUUUUGUACACGUAAUUUCUAAUUUAAAGUGAAAUGCACAAACUUAUAACUUAGUUACUGUGUAAUAAGAUCACUUCACUCUUUUAACAGAUUUAUUUCUGUGAAUAUAAAUUAAUCAUAUAUUAAAUUUUAAAUGACAAAUGUUACCUAAAAAAUAAACCACUCGUUCUACUUAUUAAAUUUUACUUGUUUAACACAUGUUGAAGGUAGGGAGGAAAUAAUAAAUAGUUUCUUGGAAAACCAAAGGCAACUGAAACAAAGUUCCAAAGGACAUUAUUACACUUUUUUUCCAUUUUCAUUCGGCAUAUGAUAUCUAUAUUAAAAUUAGAUUAAAUUCAAAUUAGUGUCAAGAAAGUUUUCGUUGAGGUAAAAUGCUUCCUAAAUAAAUGACUCUAUACCAAGAAGACUCAAACUCAGGAUUUCUGUUAAGUAUGAAGCAAUAAUUAUCGCUCUAUCACAAAUUUUGUUGAUACUCUCUAUUAAAGCGACAGAAAAAUGUUCAACGAUCUAUUAAAAGAAAAUAGUUGUCCCAAUAUAUGUGUAUAUAUAUAAAAUAUCUAUCGACUAUUAUUCAUGUAACACUACUAGACCAUUACUAUAAAUACAGCUCUGGCUAAGCCAUAAACAACACACUCCAAAUAAUUAGCACUUGCAGUCCUGUUCCACUACAAACAACAUAAUGGAAGGUAGUAGCUGGACUGCAGUUUUUCUUGCUACUCUGUUUGUUUUGCUUCUCUCCAAAUAUCUUUUCCAAAGGAAACUCAACUUACCUCCAGGACCAAAACCAUGGCCAAUCAUCGGAAAUUUAAACCUUAUUGGCAGCCUUCCUCACCGAUCCAUCCACGAUCUAUCGGUCAAGUAUGGACCCAUUAUGCAACUACAAUUCGGGUCUUUUCCCGUUGUAGUAGGCUCCUCCGUUGAAAUGGCAAAAGUGUUCCUUAAAACCAUGGAUAUCAACUUUGUCGGUAGGCCUAAAACCGCUGCUGGAAAAUACACCACCUAUAACUAUUCCGAUAUCACUUGGUCCCCGUACGGAUCCUAUUGGCGUCAGGCACGUAGAAUGUGCCUGAUGGAAUUGUUCAGCGCAAAACGGCUCGAUUCAUACGAGUAUAUUCGCGCUGAGGAACUUCAUUCUAUUCUUCAUAAUUUGAAGAAAACAUCGGGAAAACCUAUUCUGUUGAAAGAUUAUUUGACAACUCUGAGUUUAAAUGUUAUUAGCAGAAUGGUAUUGGGAAAAAGUUACUUGGACGAAUCCAAAAACUCCAUUGUAACACCCGAUGAAUUUAAAAAGAUGUUGGAUGAAUUGUUCUUACUUAAUGGAGUCCUUAAUAUUGGAGAUUCAAUUCCAUGGCUUGAUUUCAUGGACUUGCAAGGUUAUGUUAAGAGGAUGAAAGUUGUGAGCAAGAAAUUCGACAAAUUUCUGGAGCAUGUACUUGAUGAGCAUAACGUGAGAAGGAACGCAGUGGAAAACUACGUUGCUGAGGACAUGGUGGAUGUUCUAUUGCAGCUUG